UACAGAGGUCUCAAGCGUUGUUCGGAUUCAUUGGGCGUAAAGGGUGCGUAGGUGGCGCGCUAAGUCAGGUGUGAAAUUUCGGAGCUUAACUCCGAAACUGCAUUUGAUACUGGUGUGCUUGAGGACUGGAGAGGAGACUGGAAUUCAUGGUGUAGCAGUGAAAUGCGUAGAGAUCAUGAGGAAGACCAGUGGCGAAGGCGGGUCUCUGGACAGUUCCUGACACUGAGGCACGAAGGCCAGGUGAGCAAACGGG
RNAcentral lists this ribosomal RNA (253 nucleotides) under uncultured bacterium. RNAcentral describes it as "partial 16S ribosomal RNA". It matches the Rfam family "Bacterial small subunit ribosomal RNA", at positions 524 to 776 of the family's 1533-position model. The record is from RNAcentral.